AGGAGACAGUGCUGUCGGGAC
This 21-nucleotide microRNA is filed under the name Macaca mulatta (Rhesus monkey). Its description in RNAcentral is "mml-miR-650d". Its record names the gene mml-miR-650d. Lineage: Eukaryota; Metazoa; Chordata; Mammalia; Primates; Cercopithecidae. The record is from miRBase by way of RNAcentral.